RNAcentral lists this unclassified non-coding RNA (329 nucleotides) under soil metagenome. Its description in RNAcentral is "partial contains 5.8S ribosomal RNA, internal transcribed spacer 2, and large subunit ribosomal RNA". The stretch from base 1 to 120 matches the Rfam family "5.8S ribosomal RNA", at positions 35 to 154 of the family's 154-position model. The record is from RNAcentral.
GAUGAAGAACGUAGCGAAAUGCGAUAAGUAGUGUGAAUUGCAGAAUUCAGUGAAUCAUCGAAUCUUUGAACGCACAUUGCGCCCCUUGGUAUCCCGAGGGGCAUGCCUGUUCGAGCGUCAUUUCACCACUCAAGCCUGGCUUGGUGUUGGGCGACGUCCUCUUUGGGGACGCGCCUCGAAACGCUCGGCGGCGUGGCACCGGCUUUAAGCGUAGCAGAAUCUUUCGCUUUGGAAGUCGGGGCCCCGUCUGCCGGAAGACCUGCUCGCAAGGUUGACCUCGGCUCAGGCAGGGAUACCCGCUGAACUUAAGCAUAUCAAUAAGCGGAGGA